AUUGAACGCUGGCGGCAGGCCUAACACAUGCAAGUCGAGCGGAUGAAGGGAGCUUGCUCCUGGAUUCAGCGGCGGACGGGUGAGUAAUGCCUAGGAAUCUGCCUGGUAGUGGGGGAUAACGUCCGGAAACGGGCGCUAAUACCGCAUACGUCCUGAGGGAGAAAGUGGGGGAUCUUCGGACCUCACGCUAUCAGAUGAGCCUAGGUCGGAUUAGCUAGUUGGUGGGGUAAAGGCCUACCAAGGCGACGAUCCGUAACUGGUCUGAGAGGAUGAUCAGUCACACUGGAACUGAGACACGGUCCAGACUCCUACGGGAGGCAGCAGUGGGGAAUAUUGGACAAUGGGCGAAAGCCUGAUCCAGCCAUGCCGCGUGUGUGAAGAAGGUCUUCGGAUUGUAAAGCACUUUAAGUUGGGAGGAAGGGCAGUAAGUUAAUACCUUGCUGUUUUGACGUUACCAACAGAAUAAGCACCGGCUAACUUCGGGC
Molecule: ribosomal RNA, 485 nt
Filed under: uncultured bacterium
Lineage: Bacteria
Description: partial 16S ribosomal RNA
Rfam family: Bacterial small subunit ribosomal RNA
Source: RNAcentral